Molecule: ribosomal RNA, 465 nt
Filed under: uncultured Klebsiella sp.
Lineage: Bacteria; Pseudomonadati; Pseudomonadota; Gammaproteobacteria; Enterobacterales; Enterobacteriaceae
Description: bacterial SSU rRNA
Rfam family: Bacterial small subunit ribosomal RNA
Source: RNAcentral
CCUACGGGUGGCAGCAGUGGGGAAUAUUGCACAAUGGGCGCAAGCCUGAUGGAGCCAUGCCGCGUGUGUGAAGAAGGCCUUCGGGUUGUAAAGCACUUUCAGCGGGGAGGAAGGCGUUAAGGUCAAUAACCUUGGCCAUUGACGUUACCCGCAGAAGAAGCACCGGCUAACUCCGUGCCAGCAGCCGCGGUAAUACGGAGGGUGCAAGCGUUAAUCGGAAUUACUGGGCGUAAAGCGCACGCAGGCGGUCUGUCAAGUCGGAUGUGAAAUCCCCGGGCUCAACCUGGGAACUGCAUUCGAAACUGGCAGGCUAGAGUCUUGUAGAGGGGGGUAGAAUUCCAGGUGUAGCGGUGAAAUGCGUAGAGAUCUGGAGGAAUACCGGUGGCGAAGGCGGCCCCCUGGACAAAGACUGACGCUCAGGUGCGAAAGCGUGGGGAGCAAACAGGAUUAGAUACCCGAGUAGUC